UAGGGAUCUUCCACAAUGGGCGCAAGCCUGAUGGAGCAACACCGCGUGAGUGAAGAAGGGUUCGGCUCGUAAAGCUCUGUUGUUAAAGAAGAACACGUAUGAGAGUAACUGUUCAUACGUUGACGGUAUUUAACCAGAAAGUCACGGCUAACUACGUGCCAG
Molecule: ribosomal RNA, 162 nt
Filed under: uncultured bacterium
Lineage: Bacteria
Description: partial 16S ribosomal RNA
Rfam family: Bacterial small subunit ribosomal RNA
Source: RNAcentral